AUGAGGGAAACAAUUCAAGGAAUGAUUAAAGUAGGAAUGGACGAUGUAAGAUGUAAAGCACCCAGUCUGGCAGUUGAAACCGUCAAGGUGGAGAACGUCAUUCUUGCUGAGAAAGAGAAAAAUCCGUCCAUUUCUUCUUACAAACAGGCAGUGGAAGUGGUGAGAAAUGGAGGGAUCCCAGGCUGGGGAAAGAUCAUAGGCAUUGUGGUAAAGGCGGAUAUGUUUGGGGUUGGCUAUCAGGAAGGCCAAGACUCGUCUGAGCACAGAGGACGUCGUC
Molecule: long non-coding RNA, 277 nt
Filed under: Lathyrus oleraceus (garden pea)
Lineage: Eukaryota; Viridiplantae; Streptophyta; Magnoliopsida; Fabales; Fabaceae
Description: Pisum sativum (pea) long non-coding RNA (PSAT_LNC030695)
Source: RNAcentral